AGAAUGAACCGGCGAGUUACGAUUUGAUGCAAGGUUAAGCAGUAAAUGUGGAGCCGUAGCGAAAGCGAGUCUGAAUAGGGCGUUUAGUAUUUGGUCGUAGACCCGAAACCAGGUGAUCUACCCUUGGUCAGGUUGAAGUUCAGGUAACACUGAAUGGAGGACCGAACCGACUUACGUUGAAAAGUGAGCGGAUGAACUGAGGGUAGCGGAGAAAUUCCAAUCGAACCUGGAGAUAGCUGGUUCUCUCCGAAAUAGCUUUAGGGCUAGCCUCAAGUGAUGAUUAUUGGAGGUAGAGCACUGUUUGGACGAGGGGCCCCUCUCGGGUUACCGAAUUCAGACAAACUCCGAAUGCCAAUUAAUUUAACUUGGGAGUCAGAACAUGGGUGAUAAGGUCCGUGUUCGAAAGGGAAACAGCCCAGACCACCAGCUAAGGUCCCAAAAUAUAUGUUAAGUGGAAAAGGAUGUGGCGUUGCCCAGACAACUAGGAUGUUGGCUUA
Molecule: ribosomal RNA, 497 nt
Filed under: Staphylococcus aureus
Lineage: Bacteria; Bacillati; Bacillota; Bacilli; Caryophanales; Staphylococcaceae
Description: partial 23S ribosomal RNA
Rfam family: Bacterial large subunit ribosomal RNA
Source: RNAcentral